GGCGCCUGAUGCCGACGCUCAUCGCAGUUUUAUCGGGUAAAGCAAAUGAUUAGAGGUCUUGGGGCCGAAACGAUCUCAACCUAUUCUCAAACUUUAAAUGGGUAAGAAGCCUGGCUCGCUGGCGUGGAGCCGGGCGUGGAAUGCGAGUGGGCCACUUUUGGUAAGCAGACCUGGAAGCCGAAAGCCGG
Molecule: non-coding RNA, 188 nt
Filed under: Mesocricetus auratus (golden hamster)
Lineage: Eukaryota; Metazoa; Chordata; Mammalia; Rodentia; Cricetidae
Description: Eukaryotic large subunit ribosomal RNA
Rfam family: Eukaryotic large subunit ribosomal RNA
Source: Rfam by way of RNAcentral